Molecule: non-coding RNA, 187 nt
Filed under: human gut metagenome
Description: 6S / SsrS RNA
Rfam family: 6S / SsrS RNA
About the family: E. coli 6S RNA was the first non coding RNA to be sequenced, but its function was unknown until recently. It consists of 184 nucleotides that fold into an extended hairpin structure with a large single-stranded internal bulge.
Source: RNAcentral
ACCCUGCGUAGUGCGAUAGACUUAAAUUUUUAGAACCAACACACGUUAAGAGGGGCUGAUCUCGUAAAUAUGGCGUGCAAGCUCACAACUAAUAGUGAGAAGCCCAUGAGUAUUUAGGUAGGCACCCACCUGUUUUUGGAAGCAGGUCCUUAAAAAUUCAAGACAUCUAACGGCUAAGGCGGGGAUU